GUGAGAAUAAUGAAAUUGAGAUAAAGCUAUAAUUGGUAAAGAAGAAGCAGGCACUUAUUAUUAGCCAGUAAAGGGCAAUGUUUGAUCAUUUUUGUGGUUUGAACAAUGUUUUUACCUCUGUCUGUUCAAACAUGAUAAUGAAGUGGUCUUAUUUUUUCUUGCUCCACUACAGUGACAAAAUAAUCCUGUCUGAGGUUGAUGUUCUAUGGAAGUGUUUAUAUUGAACAGGAGAAUGCCACAGAUUCACUGGGAGUGCCAGGCCAGCUCCCAGCUAAUAAGGGCUGCUUUUCUCUUUCUUAAACUAGGGAAGGUGAACUGGAGAUCUGAAGAAUCAGGAAGCCUUACUUCUCAUUUACAUACCUUUUUAUAAUUCUUGUGGUUCUUUGUUAUGGCAGUCCCUGGAAACUAAUACACCCAGGUACAACUUUUUAAAACUUUUUAUUUGGAGAUAAUAAUAGACUCACAGGAAGUUGUAAAAAUAAUACAGAGAGGUCCCACAUAUCCUUCACUCAUUUUCCCCCAAUGGUUACCAGAUGCUUUCAGACCAAAAAAUAGAAAAAAUUAGAAUAUGAGAUGUUUUUAAUUCUUGCAUUUGUACUUUUUUAAGUGGUUUAUUUUUCAACUUUUCUGUCUUGUUUCUAAUUUUAAAGACUAUGAGAUAUAUCCCCUCUUUUUUUGGAUUUCCUUCCCAUUUAGGUCACCACAGAGCAUUGAGUAGAGUUCCUUGAGCUAUAUACAGUAGGUGCUCAUUAGUUAUCUAUUUUAUACAUAGUAGCAAUAGUGUAUAUAUGUCAAUCCCAAUCUCCCAAUUCAUCCCACCCCCCCCACUUCCUCCCUUGGUGUCCAUACGUUUGUUCUCUACAUCUGUGU
This is a long non-coding RNA of Orcinus orca (killer whale), 870 nucleotides long. RefSeq lists it as uncharacterized. NCBI's taxonomy places the organism in Eukaryota, Metazoa, Chordata, Mammalia, Artiodactyla, Delphinidae. The record is from RefSeq and is a predicted model, not a curated record. The transcript has 2 exons.